This 95-nucleotide long non-coding RNA is filed under the name Nannospalax galili (Upper Galilee mountains blind mole rat). RNAcentral's name for it is "MER1 repeat containing imprinted transcript 1 conserved region 1 (ENSNGAG00000003257.1)". It matches the Rfam family "MER1 repeat containing imprinted transcript 1 conserved region 1". Lineage: Eukaryota; Metazoa; Chordata; Mammalia; Rodentia; Spalacidae. The record is from RNAcentral.
GUAGAGUCAGGGCUAGGGGGCCCUGAAGCAGGGUCUGGAAAAGGGGGAUGGGGUGUGGGUGGUACGGGAUGCAACCCCCCCAAAAGAUAUCGAGA